AGUGAACGCUGGCGGUAGGCCUAACACAUGCAAGUCGAACGGCAGCACAGUAAGAGCUUGCUCUUACGGGUGGCGAGUGGCGGACGGGUGAGGAAUACAUCGGAAUCUACUUUUUCGUGGGGGAUAACGUAGGGAAACUUACGCUAAUACCGCAUACGACCUACGGGUGAAAGCAGGGGAUCUUCGGACCUUGCGCGAUUGAAUGAGCCGAUGUCGGAUUGGCUAGUUGGCGGGGUAAAGGCCCACCAAGGCGACGAUCCGUAGCUGGUCUGAGAGGAUGAUCAGCCACACUGGAACUGAGACACGGUCCAGACUCCUACGGGAGGCAGCAGUGGGGAAUAUUGGACAAUGGGCGCAAGCCUGAUCCAGCCAUACCGCGUGGGUGAAGAAGGCCUUCGGGUUGUAAAGCCCUUUUGUUGGGAAAGAAAAGCAGCAGGUUAAUACCCCGCUGUUCUGACGGUACCCAAAGAAUAAGCACCGGCUAACUACGUG
RNAcentral lists this ribosomal RNA (492 nucleotides) under uncultured bacterium. Its description in RNAcentral is "partial 16S ribosomal RNA". It matches the Rfam family "Bacterial small subunit ribosomal RNA", at positions 29 to 507 of the family's 1533-position model. The record is from RNAcentral.